RNAcentral lists this ribosomal RNA (465 nucleotides) under uncultured bacterium. Its description in RNAcentral is "partial 16S ribosomal RNA". It matches the Rfam family "Bacterial small subunit ribosomal RNA", at positions 28 to 507 of the family's 1533-position model. The record is from RNAcentral.
GACGAACGCUGGCGGCGUGCUUAACACAUGCAAGUCGAACGGAAAGGCCCUGCUUGCAGGGUACUCGAGUGGCGAACGGGUGAGUAACACGUGGGUGAUCUGCCCUGCACUUCGGGAUAAGCCUGGGAAACUGGGUCUAAUACCGGAUAGGAGCCAUUUUUAGUGUGAUGGUUGGAAAGUUUUUUCGGUGUAGGAUGAGCUCGCGGCCUAUCAGCUUGUUGGUGGGGUAAUGGCUUACCAAGGCGGCGACGGGUAGCCGGCCUGAGAGGGUGGACGGCCACCUUGGGACUGAGGGACGGCCCAGACUCGUACGGGAGGCAGCAGUGGGGAAUAUUGCACAAUGGGGGCAAGCCUGAUGCAGAGACGCCGCGUGGGGGAUGACGGCCUUCGGGUUGUAAACGCCUUUCGCUAGGGACGAAGCUUUUUGUGACGGUACCUAGAUAAGAAGCACCGGCUAACUACGUG